GGGUUGUAAAGCACUUUUGGCAGGAAAGAAAUGGCUCUGGUUAAUACCUGGGGCAGAUGACGGUACCUGCAGAAUAAGCACCGGCUAACUACGUGCCAGCAGCCGCGGUAAUACGUAGGGUGCAAGCGUUAAUCGGAAUUACUGGGCGUAAAGCGUGCGCAGGCGGUUCGGAAAGAAAGGUGUGAAAUCCCCGGGCUUAACCUGGGAACGGCACUUUUAACUACCGGGCUAGAGUGUGUCAGAGGGAGGUGGAAUUCCGCGUGUAGCAGUGAAAUGCGUAGAGAUGCGGAGGAACACCGAUGGCGAAGGCAGCCUCCUGGGAUAACACUGACGCUCAUGCACGAAAGCGUGGGAGCAAACAGGAUUAGAUACCCUGGUAGUCCACGCCCUAAACGAUGUCAACUAGCUGUUGGGGGCUUCGGCUCUUGGUAGCGCAGCUAACGCGUGAAGUUGACCGCCUGGGGAGUACGGUCGCAAGAUUA
RNAcentral lists this ribosomal RNA (482 nucleotides) under Bordetella sp. Its description in RNAcentral is "bacterial SSU rRNA". It matches the Rfam family "Bacterial small subunit ribosomal RNA", at positions 420 to 896 of the family's 1533-position model. The record is from RNAcentral. Lineage: Bacteria; Pseudomonadati; Pseudomonadota; Betaproteobacteria; Burkholderiales; Alcaligenaceae.